UACGAAGGUGGCAAGCGUUGUUCGGAUUUACUGGGCGUACAGGGAGCGUAGGUGGUUGGGUAAGCCCUCCGUGAAAACUCCAGGCUUAACCUGGACAGUGCAGAGGGUACUGCCUAGCUAGAGGACGGGAGAGGAGCGCGGAAUUCCCGGUGUAGCGGUGAAAUGCGUAGAGAUCGGGAGGAAGGCCGGUGGCGAAGGCGGCGCUCUGGAACGUUUCUGACACUGAGGCUCGAAAGCGUGGGGAGCAAACAGG
This 253-nucleotide ribosomal RNA is filed under the name uncultured bacterium. Its description in RNAcentral is "partial 16S ribosomal RNA". It matches the Rfam family "Bacterial small subunit ribosomal RNA", at positions 524 to 776 of the family's 1533-position model. The record is from RNAcentral.